GUAGGUGAACCUGCGGAAGGAUCAUUAUUGAAAUAAACCUGAUGGGUUGUUGCUGGUUCUCUAGGGAGCAUGUGCACGCCUUGUCAUCUUUAUAUCUCCACCUGUGCACCUUUUGUAGAUCUUACAGGUCUAUGUUGCCCUUUCAUUUACACCAAUGUAUGUUAAUAGAAUGUUGUGACUAUAAAUAUAUACAACUUUCAGCAACGGAUCUCUUGGCUCUC
Molecule: unclassified non-coding RNA, 221 nt
Filed under: rhizosphere metagenome
Description: partial ribosomal RNA internal transcribed spacer region
Source: RNAcentral